Molecule: ribosomal RNA, 253 nt
Filed under: uncultured bacterium
Lineage: Bacteria
Description: partial 16S ribosomal RNA
Rfam family: Bacterial small subunit ribosomal RNA
Source: RNAcentral
UACGAAGGGAGCUAGCGUUGUUCGGAAUCACUGGGCGUAAAGCGCACGUAGGCGGACUUGUAAGUCAGGGGUGAAAUCCCGGGGCUCAACCUCGGAACUGCCCUUGAUACUGCAAGCCUGGAGUCCGGAAGAGGUGGGUGGAAUUCCUAGUGUAGAGGUGAAAUUCAUAGAUAUUAGGAAGAACACCGGUGGCGAAGGCGGCCCACUGGUCCGGUACUGACGCUGAGGUGCGAAAGCGUGGGGAGCAAACAGG